RNA transcript from Lotus japonicus, 1123 nucleotides. It is a transcript of the gene named ras-related protein RABD1-like, with no coding region annotated. NCBI's taxonomy places the organism in Eukaryota, Viridiplantae, Streptophyta, Magnoliopsida, Fabales, Fabaceae. The transcript has 9 exons. The record is from RefSeq and is a predicted model, not a curated record.
AUACAAUUACAAUUGAUGACUUAUUUGAUUUUAUAUUAUAUUAUAUUGAGCGGCGAGGGGAGAGAACUAGAAGGAGGAGGCAGGAGCGGAGCUUAGCUUAGCUUAGGUUUGUUGUGUUUUCAAGAUUGGGAUCCCAUAUCCACACAUAAUGAGCAACGAAUACGAUUACCUGUUCAAGCUUCUACUGAUCGGAGACUCCUCAGUUGGAAAAUCUUGCUUGCUUCUCCGAUUUGCUGAUGACUCCUAUGUCGACAGCUACAUUAGCACCAUUGGCGUUGAUUUCAAAAUCAGAACUGUCGAGCUCCAAGGCAAAACCAUCAAGCUGCAGAUUUGGGAUACUGCUGGACAGGAGCGCUUCAGGACUAUAACAAGCAGUUACUAUAGAGGAGCACAUGGAAUAAUUAUUGUCUAUGAUGUCACUGAGAUGGAAAGCUUCAACAAUGUCAAGCAGUGGUUGAAUGAAAUUGACAGAUAUGCAAAUGACUCUGUAUGCAAGCUUCUUGUGGGGAAUAAAUCUGAUCUAGUUGAAAAUAAGGUUGUUGACACGCAAACUGCUAAGGCAUUUGCAGAUGAGCUUGGUAUCCCUUUCCUUGAGACAAGUGCUAAAGACUCGAUCAAUGUGGAGCAGGCUUUUUUAACUAUGGCAGCAGAGAUUAAGAAGAAGAUGGGAAGCCAACCAACUGGUAGUAAGUCAGCAGAAACUGUUCAAAUGAAAGGGCAACCAAUCCCACAGAAGAGCAACUGUUGUGGUUAGGUAGAACUUGUAUUUUUCUAGCAACACUGCUAUAUUAAGAGAGAACUUGUUUCCUGACUCUGUCAAGCUAGGGAAACCUUAUAUUGGUGCAGGAUGGAAUUGCUCGUGUAUGCAUCAUAAUUUUACACUGUGAAACACCACAAGCAGCAUAAGUUGAUGGUGACAUCACGGAGGCAUUGUCCUAUUAACUGAUAUAGUGCUGGAAUAAAAGUGAUAUAGUGCUCGUGUUACUAGUUUUGUUUGAUGUUCUAAAAUUUAUUGCUAACUAGGUUGGAGCACUCAUUGUGCUUCCAAUUAAUAUAUUUGGCUUAUUAAAAAAAAACUGAGGCAUGAUCCUCACCUUCAAUAAAAGAGAGGCUUUUGUGUCAA